Otolemur garnettii (small-eared galago) is the source of this 300-nucleotide non-coding RNA. NCBI's taxonomy places the organism in Eukaryota, Metazoa, Chordata, Mammalia, Primates, Galagidae. The record is from Rfam.
GCCAGGUACAGGAGCACAUACCUAUACUCCCAGCUUACUUGGGAGGCUGAGGCAGGAGGAUCACUAGAGCCCAGGAGCUUAGGUUGUAGUGCAUUAUGCUGAUCAGGUGUCUCCACUAAGUUUGGCAUUGAUAUGUGAUACCCCAGAAGCCAGGGACCACCAGAUUGCCUAAAGAGGGACAAACUGGCCCAGGUCAGAAAUGGAGCAGGUCAAAACAACUGUGCUUAAACAGUAGUGGGACUGUGCCUGUAAACAACUAUUGCACUCCACUCUGGGCAACACAGCGAGAUCUUGUCUCUU